AUGCUUAUUGGAGGGGAUUUCAAUAUCCUUUGGUACCAGGAAGAAAAAAAUAAUGACCGCUUCGACACUCACUGGCCUUUCCUAUUCAAUGCUGUGAUUGAUAGUUUGGACCUUUGGGAGGCUUGUAUGUCGGGGCGGCAGUUCACUUGGGCUAAUAAACGUUCUGUGCCAACGUACGAGAAGCUCGAUAGGGUACUCAUGGAUACCGAAUGGGAGCUAAAAUUUCCUAUGGUAACCGUACGAGCCCUAGAGAGAAUCGAGGCAUUAUCGGAUCAUGCGCCAAUCAUUCUUGAUUCUAAUUCUACGAGCCAUUCUUCCCGCCACCCUUUCAAAUUUGAAUUGGCAUGGCUGCACCGGGAAGGUUUUGUAGAAAUAAUCAAGAAAGUUUGGGAGAGGCCAGCCAUUGGUCGUACACCGAUUCAGAGAUGGAAUUAUAAAAUAAGGGCCAUGAGGCAACACCUCUCUGGAUGGGCGAAACACAUCAAUGGGUUAUAUAAAAAAGAAAAGCAGCGCCUUUGUACCAUCAUUGAUGACCUCGACAAAAUUGCAGCACCUUAUCUCAACAUGAGAUUGAAUUGA
Molecule: ribosomal RNA, 579 nt
Filed under: Triticum aestivum (bread wheat)
Lineage: Eukaryota; Viridiplantae; Streptophyta; Magnoliopsida; Poales; Poaceae
Description: partial small subunit ribosomal RNA
Source: RNAcentral